UUUCCUUCACUCAGGCAAAGAGGGUUGUGGAAGGAAACCAAGCAUCACUAACACCCCUUAGCUCUCAGGGAGACUAGCUUUCUUGGAGGCUGGGAGAGGUCUCUGCACCUGUGAGGUCUUAGACAUGGGAAAGUCAUAGUGAAGACAGCGGAAGCCCACCUGACCGCUCAGUGGCCAGCCACAUGGGAGUCUCAUGCAGGUGUCCCCAGACCCUUGAAAAGGAGGUGUGAGACCACACUAUCACUCCUGCUUCAAAAGAUAAAUGGCUUGCUGUAGGAUGUUGCCUAAGUCACAUUGACACUUUUCAGAAAUGGUUCCUGCCAGUCUUCUGGGCACUAGGAUUUGACCUGCAUCAUGGAACUUCCCUCCAGAGGAUGAUUACAUAACAUGAUGCAUGCACGUUGCCCGGGAGCUGAACUAGAUGUUGACAUGCAUCAAGGGGCUCCUCCCCACAUCUCAAGAACCUCAUUAGGUGGGGAGGAGGCUCAAAGCUGGAUCCUUGCACAUGGUCAUAUGUGCACUUAACCAAGUGCACCACCACCCAGCCCCACAUACAAAACAGGAGUAACACAGUCAAGGGUAUGGCUUCUCCCACAACCUAGGAAUGGAAAAGAUCCAUGGGGGAAAAAAACACCUUGGCAAGAUGAAGGGUUUGAAUGCUCAUUUACAAGACUCGCAGAAGGAGGAAAGAAAAUGAACUCCAAGAAGACGGUUUAUUUCUCAGUGCAGCCCCUGACAACAGAUUCCCCAGUUACCCCUCUUCACAGCCCAUAAACUGCUCUGUAAAAAUUAAAAAGCGUGAAUUUACAGGGCCCAAGAGGAGCCAGGAGGUGAAGACCUAUCUCCAGCCAAUGGCUCAGGCAUACUGAUGAAGCAGAAAUAUGAGGUUUUGCCAAUUUCUAGCCAAUAAAAUAUUUUCCCUGCCUUCGCAGAUCCUUGACCUUCUCUUUCCCACACAAAACUAAGUAUGGAC
Molecule: long non-coding RNA, 973 nt
Organism: Erinaceus europaeus (western European hedgehog)
Lineage: Eukaryota; Metazoa; Chordata; Mammalia; Eulipotyphla; Erinaceidae
Exons: 6
Source: RefSeq, a predicted model, not a curated record